GCCAUAGAGGGUGAUAGUCCAGUAGGCGAAAAACAAAGCGUAGCUAGCAGUAUCCUGAGUAGGGCGGGACCCGCGGAAUCCUGUCUGAAUCCGGGUCGACCCCGAUCCAACCCUACAUACUAAUACCAUCUCGAUAGUGCACAAGUACCGUGAGGGAAAGGAGAAAAGAACUGAGGUGAUCAGAGUGAAAUAGAACCUAAAACCAUUUGCUUACAAUCAUUCAGAGCACUAUGUAGCAAUACAGUGUGAUGAACUGCCUUUUACAUAAUGAGAAUGCGAGUUGUGAUGUCGGGGAAAGUUAAGCAAACGCGAAGCCGUAGCGAAAGUGAGUCUUAAAGAGGCGCU
This 345-nucleotide ribosomal RNA is filed under the name Campylobacter jejuni. RNAcentral's name for it is "partial 23S ribosomal RNA". It matches the Rfam family "Bacterial large subunit ribosomal RNA", at positions 354 to 696 of the family's 2925-position model. The record is from RNAcentral. Lineage: Bacteria; Pseudomonadati; Campylobacterota; Epsilonproteobacteria; Campylobacterales; Campylobacteraceae.